GUGCAGUAGAAGCCCUUGUGCUUUGGGGAAUGCAAAACAAUAAAAAGUUCACAUGAAAACUCACCACUGAAAGGAAACCCACCAAGAGCCACAUAUCUCUGCUACAUUCAUCAGCCAGCUUCCGAGAUUCUCACAAUGUCAUCAAAAUGCAGAGGAAUCUCUUUUCUAGGAAACAACUCCUCUUCCUGUAGAUGAACAGACCGCAUGUUUUCUGCUCAUAAAGGUGCAGUCACCAAUUGAUCUGUCAUAUUGUGGUUUUCAAAGAUGAACUGAGAAUGCUCUGAAAGGAAUUUGCAGUUGAAGAGCUGUAGGAAGACCUAGGGUAGGGAAUUACAUUUUCAUUGUGGCUAACUUUCAAUGACACUGAAGAUGUCUCACUUGGAAGAUCAUCAAACCCAUGUUUUCUCUUCUACUUCAACAGACAACGCUUCAUUCAUUUGAUGUAGAAACUCUGAAGAAACUAAUUUUCAUUUUGAAAUAAGUGUGAAUUCUUUUUAUCCUGAGAUUUAACAACUCUUGACAAUGCUUACAUUUUACUUCAGAAAAAUGAGCUGUUUUCAUAACUUCAGUCUUUCCAAUCACUUUUUCCCACCAAGUCUUUUAGUAUUCCCUUUCUCAACCCAGGUUAAAAUACAUGGAAUUUUUGUUACUACUACUUCUAAGCUACCUAUUUGUUGUAUUAAUAAAAUAACUAUCCCAUUUACUAAAAAUAAAAUGAAAAUAACCACUUCUUGAAGUUAAUACUCUAAAGAAUGGAAAAAAGAUUUGCUAAUCAUGAUCUUCAAUGAUUUCUCUUCCAUUAAUUUCAGAUCAAAUCCAUCCUUGAUUACAUGAUACUCUUGCUUAUUUUCUCCUUCACUAUAUCUAACAUUUAGCUCCAUCUCUGUUCUCCUGUGGCUAAGAAUAUACUAAAUUCCACCCAUAAGGCUUCCAGUUCCAUAACUAUGUUUAGUACAAAGUUUUCUUUUGUUUUAUAAUAUUUCUUUCACAAAGAUUUAAUGUGCAAAAAUGGCUUUUUUUAUCCUUUAAGCACUACAUUUUUCCUUUUUCAAUCUCUUAGAGCCUUAGCAAGCAUCUCCUAUGUUAUCAGAGAUGCCUGCUGACACCUUUAAAUAGUUCUGGCCAGUGCUCUAAAUAAGCUAGAGUCAAUUUUAUUAGUCUGUAAGAUUAUGGUCCUUAGUUUUUCAUAAUAAUUAUUAGCCACAUGAUUACAGCAGACUUCUGUAGUGAAUAUUGAAACAAAAAGGCGUUAAAUUGAUCUAAGAUAUUAUUAGUUUUCUCUCUCUGUUUAGUAUGGAAUAGUUUCUCAGUCUUUCUCUCAUUCCUUACCGAAUUCAAGUAGAAACUCCAUAGUCAUAAACUGUGAUGUCCUUAUAAAAACAUAUUUUUUUCAGUUGGUCACCUAUAAAAGGUUUCUUGCUUCUCCUAAUUAUAACUUCUUCUGUGCCUUUUUCUUUUUGAUUUAUGUCCCCACAUACUUAUGCAUUCCUUUAUACUAAUGCUAGUAAUCUCACAUAAUUUUCAUUUCCUGUAUGACUCACAUGUUUGAGGGCAAUGUAUAUGAUUUAACCAGAUGACUUCUUGCUAUAUACUCACUAUUCUUUCCUUGCAUUGGGAUCACUAAAUUCCAAAGUGUAUGCUUUCUGUCAGGAAGUGCUUAAUUCCUUUAUUCCUUUAAAUUUCUCUUCCAUGACAUGUGAUCUUCCAGUAUCCUGAGUUUGCUGAAGUCUGCUUUCUUGAAAUCCUUUUCCUCUCACUUUGCUGUUCUCCCUCCUUUCCUUACAAAGGGUCAUGGAUACUUUCAUUUCAUAUCCACACAAGUUCUCUUUCACUCUCAUGUUCUCAUCCACAUCCUAUUUAGCACAAAGCUGCUAUGCUAACCUCUUUAGUUGCUUCCUCUACUUCUCUGCUUUCUGUAUCAAG
Long non-coding RNA from Passer domesticus (house sparrow), 1923 nucleotides. RefSeq lists it as uncharacterized. The record is from RefSeq and is a predicted model, not a curated record. The transcript has 3 exons. Lineage: Eukaryota; Metazoa; Chordata; Aves; Passeriformes; Passeridae.